RNA transcript from Megalobrama amblycephala (Wuchang bream), 2067 nucleotides. It is a transcript of the gene named GPI transamidase component PIG-T-like, with no coding region annotated. The transcript has 2 exons. Lineage: Eukaryota; Metazoa; Chordata; Actinopteri; Cypriniformes; Xenocyprididae. The record is from RefSeq and is a predicted model, not a curated record.
UAUAAACACAAUCAAACCUUCAAAAAAACACGAAAAACAGGACCUUUAAACUUAAAGCCUAGUUUAUUAACAUUUUGUUGGGGCGAUGGGGGACAUGUGGGGCUCGGAACCCUUCCCUACCUCCAAAGUGGGGAAUGGCAGAAAAAGUUUGAGAAACACUGCUCUAUACACUGCUUUCUGUCUUCUAAGUGUCUAUUGCAUUUUGUCCUGCCUCUUCAGUUAACUCCUUCGGGUCGGCGGUCGCGGCAGCGAUACCGCCUCGCUUUUUUUUUUUUCUUUUCUCAUCAGUGUGAAAGAGACUCAAAAUACUCAGCCGAAUUUGAUCACGCAUACCAGUGUUAUACAAUACUCUAAAGUGUUGUACUUUUUUUUUUUUUUUUUUUUUUUUUUGUGUACACUCUCAAAAAAAAAAAACGCUGUGCUUUUUGCAAAAAUAAAUGAACGUGAUGUGCGAUCUGAUGUCUCCCUCUUAGUGAAGUCAAUUCGGAAAUGCAUUUUAAAAUGAACUGAAACUCAGCAAAUACUUGCCACACAGAUGAGACACAUGUCUACAUAAUGCUUGGAAUGUCUACUUUUAAAUGAAGUCAAAUCAAAAAUAAAUAUUCUGUUUUAUAAAAAGAAAAAAAAUCAUUUGAAACCAAGGAGAGGUUCCUUUUCCUUCACACUUCAUUAUCUGUAAUGAGCUAAGACUGCCACACCCCCCGCGUCGUUCACAUGGUAAAUGGUUUAGGUGAACUGUCUGCAUCGGACACGCCCCUCGUUCAAUGCCACAAAAAACAUCAGAUUCACUGAACGUUAGUCACGUUUUGAGGAUGGCACACUACUCCGGUAAAGAGGCCCUUCAGAUGAUUCUGGACAGUGAGGAAGAUGUCACCUUUUCCUCGAAGGAUGAUUGAGAUGACGAACAGUGCAUUUCAAACAGCGACUUGACCCUGAGGAGGAUAAAAGUACGGGGUAAGUUGUUUAGUGUUAUAUAAUUCAUUUUCUGAUAAUAUAAAACUUGUAUGAAUUUUCACACUAUAUUGUGCCUGUAGUGAAUACAGAUGUAAAUGUUUGAAAUGCACUAAAUACGUGCAGUCUAUAUGGCCCAUCAACAGAUACUCGCGGCCUAUGGCCAAUCAAUAUAUAUUUUUCCGUCCUAUGGCCCAUCGUCAGCAGAUAUAUACAUACAUUGUGCGUCCAUACCCACUAAUUGCCCAUCAGUUUACUUUGGACAAUGUAUGCUAAUAGUGUUUUAUUUGUUUAGGAAUGUGUCUGCAUUGUGCUCGCCUUCACCAGCACCGCACACGGGCACGCAGGUAUCGUUCAGUUCUCAGUACGAUCGAGAAUCAUAUGGAAUGUGACAAUGAAAAUUUCCAAACACCUGUUCAAAAGAGAUCCCAAGAGAUACAACAAACACAUGGGGGGCAUUGACCUGUCUGAUCAGCUGAUACAGUACUACACAACACAGCAUAACCAUAAAGUGGUACAGAAAGAUUUUUCUGCAUUUCUUGGACAUUGCUUCCACCGACUCUUUUAUUUUGCACAGAGCUAUUGUGCGCAUGAUUGUCCGUAUGAUUACUGCAGUCUUAAGUGUCACAUGAUCCUUCAGAAAUUAUUCUAAUAUGCUGAUUUGAUAUUCAGUUGUUACCAGUGUUGGAAACGGUUAUAAUGGUAUAUCACUGUCAUGACUGGAACCAGGAAUUUUUUUUUUUCUCCACUGCAAAGAAAUGCCAAACACCUUGGAAUGCCAGCUAAGUGAUGUUCACUUAUAUCUUUGAACAGGAUUUAUUUCCAGGUAAAUCUGUAUACUCAAAUCGUGCCCUCAUUUAUUCAUUGUUUCAUUUAUAUUGUUAACUAUAUUCUGAAUAAACUACCAGGGGGAAAAAAAAAAACUUUGUACUUUGAUAAAUUUUCACUCGCAUUGCCUUCCGACCCAAAAGAGCUCAUUAUGCAGGUCGUUAUGCGGGUCUUUGUCUUCUCAGGUGUGAAUCUCAGCAUUAUUCAUGAAGAUUCAUGCCUCCACGAAUAUUGUCUUUCUUGACAAAAAGUCUUACAAAAUUUAAAUCAUUUUUGUUUUAUAUGAAC